AGUAAAUCCCGGUGUUUGUCUGGACGGUGAGAGGAAGACCGACGGUUGUAACCAGUGUUCCUGCUUGGGAGGGGCCUGGGCUUGCACCCUCAGAGCCUGCGUCGACCCCACAGAUACAUUUCCUGGAUCGCUGCCAUGCAAGCUGGCUCCCCACAUCAAAGGGUGUUGAAAAAUCCCGCCACGGUAUCAAGAAUACCUGCUUGACUAAAUUAGGCAGGACAAUUGUUGACUGAUCAAAGAACAUGACAUGGCAACCAAGACCCGAGUUCGUAUGCACAAUUUCUUUCCUGAUUGUACGCCUUGUAUUACAUCUGAGGGGCAUGUUUAGGAAGUUAAGCCGUUCGUUCAUUGUAUGCGCGACUGAAUUUUUCCACUUUUAAUU
Long non-coding RNA from Pollicipes pollicipes, 382 nucleotides. RefSeq lists it as uncharacterized. The transcript is spliced from 3 exons. NCBI's taxonomy places the organism in Eukaryota, Metazoa, Arthropoda, Thecostraca, Pollicipedomorpha, Pollicipedidae. The record is from RefSeq and is a predicted model, not a curated record.